UACGAACUGUGCGAACGUUAUUCGGAAUCACUGGGCUUCAAGGGUGCGUAGGCGGUUAUCUAAGUCAGGUGUGAAAUCUCUCGGCUCAACCGGGAAACUGCGCUUGAAACUGGAUGGCUAGAGUGAUGCAGGGGUGUGUGGAACUUCCGGUGGAGCGGUGAAAUGUGUAGAUAUCGGAAGGAACGCCAGCAGCGAAAGCGGCACACUGGGCAUUUUCUGACGCUGAGGCACGAAAGCGAGGGGAGUGAACGGG
This 253-nucleotide ribosomal RNA is filed under the name uncultured bacterium. Its description in RNAcentral is "partial 16S ribosomal RNA". It matches the Rfam family "Bacterial small subunit ribosomal RNA", at positions 524 to 776 of the family's 1533-position model. The record is from RNAcentral.